AUCCAAGGAGCAGUUAACCACAGGACCUUCUAUCCUCAUUGACUGGUGAGUGAGAUACCUUACAAACUACUUCAGCUGGCGAUGAUUGGAGCACAUGAGAAAAAUGUGAAAAGAUUAAUUGGAUUUUGAUUAUUGCAGUGUUAUUUUACAAUUUCUUUUUUUUUCUUUUAUUCUUUUAACAGAUGUUUUUUUACUUUCUUAAUUUAUUACCACAAGUUUGUCAGUGUUCUGUGGAUUUGAGGUCAGUGUGUUACAAUGAGCAGAAUCUGUGCUUGAAAUGGUUAUUUUUCUUCCUCCCUACAGAGACUUUUCUGCUCACCAAAGUCAAAAUGGUAAAUUACGAAGUCACUGUACACACCGGCAAAAUGGUCCACGCCAACACUUUCAACGAUGUCUUCAUUAAGUUGGUGGGAACAGCUGGAAACAGUCAGCGUACUCAGCUCAAAGAUAUCAGAGGGCCUUUAACCUUCGCCCCUGGAGCAGUAAGUCUGAAAUACCCUUUUCCAUCUUCACAUGUAUUAUGUUCAUCUAAAAGCAACUUUACCUGAGAUAAAAGGUACAUUACAAAGAACACUUGAGAAGUUUGUGUUACCAAUAUAUGUGCUCUGUAACUCUUGAGGCUCUGCUCACUAAUGGGACAAAUACAACAAAUUGGUAGCACUCUGAUAUUUCGUGUAGAUGUUUGUGUCACACAAUCUUUUUUGAAUGUAUUUGUAUGUUUAUUACUAGGAUCUUAUAGAUCUUAUUUCUUUCUGUUUACAAAUGAUUUGUCUCUGACCUUAUAAAUGGCUUUGGUCUAAUAUAUUUUUCAUUACUUAAGGUGUCAAAUUUUACCGUGUCCUGCUUUGAAUCCAUUGGAGAAGUGACCAUGAUAGAGCUGGAUAAACAGCAUUCCCCUACUGUGCCUCAGAAUAACUGGUUUCCUUCCAAAGCGGAGGUGAAAUCUCCUGAGGGAAACACCUACAAUUUUCCCAUUUACAACUGGAUCAAUGACAGCGAGGUGCACGUAUUCAGAGAGGGAAAAGGUUUGAACUAUUCACAGAAAAUAAAGACAAGUACUGAAAAAUAGAUUUAUGAAAAAAUAUAUAUUAUUCAUGUUGAGGAAUUUAACACCUUAUUUUGGUUCUUUCAUUAAGCUCUUCUGGUCUAUGAAGACACACAACUUGGCAAGACGAGUCGUCAACAGGAGCUGGACCAAAGAAAAGAGGACUACCAGUAAGAGCUGAGAACUUAUCCCUUUUUCAUUUUUAUGAAAUCAUAGUACUAUCCAAAGCUGUUUAUCUUACAAAUAAUGAUAUUAACUUGGACGACUGUAAUUUAAAAAAAAAAAAAAAAACUAUGGAAUGAUGAAACCUAUCAGGGUUCAUCUGAAUCGACUGUAAUUCAAUUUAUAAAUUUUAUGUGUCAGGUAUAAAAUCCAGUCAAACUCCAUAUCAAAACCUGAAAUACUAUGUUCAUGAUAACAAGACUUUAAAGUGUUUUUAACUCUGAUGUAUCCUGUUUAUCUAAGAUGGCGGGUGUAUGCUCCAGGAAUCCCUCACUGCAUAAAAAAUGAGGCCCCGAGCUCACUGCCCUUUGAGGUCCAGUUCUCUUUCACCAAGUCUGCAGAGUUUGACUUCACUGCAAAAAAAGGGUGAGGUCCUCAAAUUCUGUUAGAUGUCUAUCACUACUCCAGUAUAACUGCAUAUCCACCUGUUUAUCAAAACUUUUAACGGUAUAACAUCAACUUUAUGCCUAAAUAUUCUAGAAUGUUGGAUCUGAAGCUGGAUGGAUAUGCCAGUUGCAAGAUGCAGUGGACUGACAUGGAGAGUAUCUACAGCUUGUUCUGCUGCAAACAGACGGACACAGCAGGUAUUACCCUGUCAUCAGGCUUUGACAGACAAUUUGGCAAUUCAUGCAAGUCCUGGAUGGACCGUAUAACCAUUAAUGUAAAAUAAAAUAAAAUCUGACUUACUAGCAGAGACCAAUGUUGGAACAGCACAUUUGAUUAGGAUUUUUACUGUCCAAAACUGAAAAAAUGACACUGUGAAUCAGGUGCCGUGUUACCAACAAUCUGCACCUCCACCCACUCUUUCGAAAUGAAAAUGACCAUCAUCUGUAAUAUUCAUGAUUGAGACUCUAAGGACAAUUAUAAAAAGAAGCACUUUAGGGUGUGCAGACAGCUGAGCAUGUACGGAGACCAUGGUCACUGCAGUGAUUGCGUGCUGCAUGCCCCCCCCCCCCAACUCUCUAUAUCUCCCACAUUUCACCACUGUCCUGUCAAUUAAAGGUGACAGUGCCCCCCCAAAAAACACUGCGAUCUAUUUUUUUUUGUAUAACUGCAUGCCCACAAUACUUAUAAGACUUUUAUUACCCAUUUUUUCCAAGCCUAUGUCCAGCAACACUGGAAGGAGGAUGAGUUUUUCGGCUACCAGUUUCUAAAUGGUGUCGACCCCAUGUUGAUCCGACGUUGUUCAGUCCUUCCCGAGAACUUUCCUGUCACUGACAGCAUGGUUUCCAUUCAUGGUGAUCACACCCUGGAAGAGGAAUUGAAGGUGAUUUCCUCACUUUGAAUUGUCUCGAAAACAAAUUAAUUUCCUCAAAUGUACACUCCUUGUGUUAACAUUUCAAACUGAUUUUUGUUGCAUUUGUAUUGUAUAUAAAUCAAUGCUAAUUCGCACUCAAACUUCAAACAGAAUGGCAACAUAUACCUGUGUGACUACAAGCUCUUGGAUGGAGUCAAAGCAAACACUGUCAAUAAGAAGCAGCAGUACCUGACGGCUCCCCUUGUCCUGCUCCAGAAAACACCUGAUGACAAGUUGAUGCCGAUUGCAAUCCAGGUGAGAGAAACUGAGAUAUAACUAAUGAUAAAAUUUAGGGCUUGAUUUUGGUAGUAAUCACUUUGGGGGUUAGAUAUUAAUUCAGAAGAUAGCAGCUAUUGUCUUUCUGAGGCAGUUAAAUUUUUAUUUCUGUCAAAGCUGAAACUUCCAGGGGUUGGUUAUCUUUAGUUUUGUCUGCACCAGUGGUUUGUGAGCCAAGAGUAAGACUGUGAAUAACCAACCGCCAAACUAGUCAGGUUUGUCCACCCACAGACUCUUGUUUUAGCAUGCUGUAUUUUUUUUUUUUCCAAGUAAAUGUUUUCAACAGUAUCCCACAAGGCUUCAACAGGCAGGUGAACAGCUGACACGAUGCUGGCUACAAUCAAAAUUUAAACGUUCAUAAUCAUCUGCUUAUGCGCCAUUUUUGGGUACACUGAAAACAAAUGUGAAGUCAAGUUAUUGCAUGUCCCACAAGAACAAACCACAUUUCCCUUUCUUUCUCCUGCAGCUGAAGCAGACUCCAGGAGAGGACAACCCCAUCUUUUUUCCUACUGAUUCAGAGUACGACUGGUUGUUGGCCAAGAUUUUUGUGAGAAGCGCAAGUUUCAGUCAGCAUCAACUCAAUGUUCAUCUGCUGCGCACUCAUCUGCUGGCUGAAGUUUUUGCUGUGUCUCUGCUGCGCAACAUGCCCAUGGUGCAUCCCCUGUACAAGGUAACUGUAUUGCAAAGUUUUUACUCUGCCGUAAGAAACCUUGUAGAUUUUUAAGAUUUAUUUUCAGACUUUUUGCCUUUUUUGAAGAGGACAGUGGAGAAACCAAGAAAGGAGAGCAGGGGGUGACAUACAGGAAAGGCUAUGGAAGCAAACUCAUGGUUGGCCACUCAAGGCAUGACCUUUUAGUCAUCUAGUCUAGUCUGACAUGUCGAGGUUGCAAGUCUAGGUUAGCACAUUUUAAUUUUUUUCCCAACCAGCAAGAAACCCUUCAGGGGAACUUUGGUUUGCAGAAAACCGAUAUGUCAGUAUUAGGCCUGUCGCGAUAAUCAAUAAAUCGCCUUAUCGCUCGGUAAAUAAAAACGAGGUUGGUCAUUUGCCAGCCUCGAUAAUUAACGUGCAUUUGUUUUCCCUCUUCUCUCGCUACCAAACACGCUGGAUGAGAGAAGAGGUCUCACUCUGCGCAUUGUUCUCGGCACCUGGGGGCGUUGGCUCUAUAGCGGAAUGAACGGAGUUAGUGAACCCUCCUGUCAGUCAUUCAGUAUCUUUGUCACGGGGGGUGACAAGUGAGCGUCGUGAGUGAAAAGCAAGCAAACAGAAUGAACACGACAGCUUUGGUGUCUAAACCGAACGCAACAGCCCAAGUGUGCGAAUAUUUCGGCUUUAAACCAAAUGAAAGAGGUGAGCCCACAAAUACGGACGAGCCGAUAUGUCGUAUUUGUUCCAAAAUUGUGGUGACAAAGAAGGGGAAUACGACGAACAUGCAUGCGCACCUCAAGCACAAUCAUCCCCUCCAUUUUUCCCAACUGAGCAAAAAAAGUACUGCCGGAGGUGCUGCGGAGCCAUCGUCCCGACAGGUACCGUUUACUGAAGCGUUUGGCAAGCAAAGCAAAUAUAAACAAAACACCGCAAAAUGGUGCGCGCUGACAGACAGCGGAAAUUGAAGUUUAUCACUUUUGGCAUGGUGUACUCGCAUUAUUAUGCCAUAUAUUAUCAUUUUCGAUAAUUUAAAAAACGGUGUCAAUUAUAUCGUUUAUCGGCAAUAAUUUGUAGCACAAUUAUCGUCCAGCAAAAUUUGUUAUCGUGACAGGCCUAGUCAGUAUGUAUCUAGAUAAGAAUUUUACAUUGCUGAAUAGUAUAUGUGCAUCAAAUUUUAAACGUGAUUUAAAGAAGUUUUAAUAUUACCAUAACAGAGUUCAUUUUUCCCCCAGCUCCUCAGCCCUCACACUCGCUACACUCUGCAGAUCAACGUCAUGGCUCGAAUUGUGCUGAUUUCUGAGAAAGGAGCUUUCACAAACGUAAGAAACAAGCAAGCUUAGUGGUGCAUCCUUCAAACAUUGUUUUUUUCCUAGAAGUGUCUCCAACAAGUUCUCAUAUUGAUUAUUUUCUAGUAUUCUGCAUCUGGUGGAGAGGGUUUGCUCACAAUCCUUCAGAGGGCAACGUCCUCUAUAACAUACAGCUCCCUCUGCAUACCAGACGACAUUGCUGAGCGUGGGCUGGAGGCAAUACCCAACUACUACUACAGAGAUGAUGGAAUCGAGCUUUGGAAUAUCAUCCACAAGUACUCAUGAGUUCCUAUUCUGCAUUUUGUUGAUCAUCUGUAUAGUUAUCAAGGAAAACCUCCAUAAAAGUGAUAUAGAUAGGAUCAACUCAUCUUUAGGAUAGGUGAGAAGAUUCCUGUCCUGGAUGCAAAAGUCAGUAUCUGUGAAACAACACAUAUGGUACAAUAUUUGUGUUAUGACGUGCUUUGACUUCAUGGUGUUCUUUAAUUUAUAAAGGAAAGAGCUACAUUGAUUCCUAUUAGUUAAAAGUCCCAUGGCAUGCCAAUUUCACACAAUUUAAAAUAGUCCCCUGGUGUGUUAAAAGCAUGUCUGUGACGUCCUUCGGUCAAAAUUCGAUUUGGAUCAAUUAUUUUAGUGCUCUUUUUUUCAGCUAAAAACAGCUCCGCUCAGAAUCCUCCGUUUUGGGCGAUGUCUCUUUGAUGAUAUGAGCUGCACCUAAGCCACGUCCACUUUACACCCAUCUCUCUGGAAGGGGCUGUGGCUGUGCUCCGAUAGCCAUGUGCUAAUGUUUACACUGGCUCGGUCAUAGCUGCAAGAAGAUCGCUCGUACAACCCUACCAGUUUGAGCCAGAGUCUGACCCAGAGAAAAAACUCUCAGCCGCGUUCAGACGAAACGCGACUUCAAGCGACCAAGUCGACAUAUCCUGUGUAUUAUUCAAAGCUGCCAGGUGGGUCACGCGUAGCCGGGACGUCCCGUAUUUGAGCCAAAAGAGGCGCGUCGCCGCACGGGUAAAUGCUAAAGCUACAUGCUGCUCUGGAGGGGCCACCGAAGCGAGCGGCUAAAAUACGGAAGGAUCCGGUAAACCGGCGCGGAUUCGGUGUGUUUAUCGAAGCGUGGUGGCCGUGCAGAGGCACCGGGGGAAUUUACGCUAAACAGUAAGUCAAAAUAAAACGUUCUGUACUUACAGGUGCCACGUUUGUAGCAGGAUCACGGAUAGUUGGUACGGAUCCAUUCUUUAUCUUCAGACAUCUAGCAAAUCCAGCGUUGAACUGUCCCUCGUUGAUAAAACAGUCCGAAGUGAAAUGGUACACACAUACGUACAGAUAUUUUGGAAGUGCCGCGGGUACAUUCCCAUUAUAAAUAAAAUCCACCCAUUGAGUCCUCAAAUCCUCCGACGAGGGAGUUUUGUGCUCGUUUGUGCAGCCAACAACAGAGCAAACGCUGCCUCUUUUUCAGAUCGUACUUUCGCCAUGGUUCUAACCGGAGUAAUGCGAGAGAGCGGCCGGGGAAAAUGGCGCUGUUUAGAUAAUCUUUUGGGCAGGGCAGUGGGCGGCUCCAUGGGCAGUACCAUCAACCCGCCAGCACUGUAAUGACGUCAUGUCAGUGGAGUUUUCAGAACGGCCAGGUGUUGUGCCGUAGAAUGCACCCCUGCCGUAGAAUGCACCCCCUGCAUCCCAUCCACUCGUUAGCUUCUUAAAGUGGAAGAAAAUGAUCUCAUAUUUUUAAAAAAAGGAGUAUUUGAUCGUGACAACUUUCGUUUUGUUUUUAUGUGUCUCUAAAAUGCACAUACGGAGGUGUGCUUGGGUAUAUAAAUUGUAUAGUAAACUGUCAAGCUAGCGAACAUUAUAUUUUCGGGACAGCAAAUAUUCCGAAACAGAGGGCUAUUUUUUUGGCUUAUCUGAAUAGCCUGAAUGAGAAUAUUAAAGGCAUACGCUUAUGAAUUCAUCUAAUGGUAAGGAAAACUUGGAUUAUUUUCGCCUUCUUAAGUACUUUCGACCGCGCUCGUCGGGGGUGCAUUCUACGGCAGGGGUGCAUUCUACGGCACAACACCGGCUCUGAGCACACAGUUCCUAAAUACAGAGAUAACUAAAAAACGACUGGAUGGAAUUUUUUCGAACUUGGGGGGGAUUGUAGCAGUUUUCUAUCCCUGAUAUGCACCCCCAUGGCCCCUUUAAGUUUUCCUCUUCUGUAGUUUAUGUUGUUACUAGUUAAAGGCUCACUUGAUGUGAGCUGUGUGAGCUUGAAAUGUCAAAUAUCCUGUUUAUUAUAUUAAAUAUGGAUGGCUUUACAAAAAAUGGGCUAUUCAAGCCUCAGCUACUAAAUCAUGAUUGGCUUGACAGGCAGUUGAUCAUAAAUUGUUGUCAAAACUCAUGUUUUGAACAAAGAUGAGCUGAAAGAAAAGAGCACAAGCAUUUAGCAGGAAGCAAUAUGUCAUUGUCCUUUAGGAGAUGCAGAAGCAGACUAUCACAGAGUGCACAUAUGACCAUAAGAAAUAAAUAAAUAGAUCUGAUUGUUCAAAGAGAUGGUCUUUCAAUAAACCCAGAAAAGACCCUCAUACCCCAUACAGGGUAUGUAUUUCAUAGAUCUUGUCCACUUCUCUUCAAGGUUUGUGAAAGGAAUCCUCAGCUUCUACUACAAGACUGAUGUAGAUGUCCAGAGAGACUCUGAACUGCAGAAGUGGAUUUCAGACAUUUUUGUGAAGGGAUUCCUCUCCAGUGCCAACAGUGGUGGGUUUGAAAGAAAAACUCUCUUCAUCUUUACAAAUAUGAGCAUCACUUAAACAAAAUGAUGCAGUUUAUUCUCUGUAACUCUCAGGAAUUCCAGAGAGAUUUACCACAGUGGCCCAGCUGGUCAAGUUUGUCACCAUGGUGAUCUUCACUUGCUCAGCACAGCAUGCAGCUGUAAACUCUGGACAGGUGAGGUAUCUUAAUGUAGGUUUUCACUGCAUUUUUGGCUUUAAAUCCUUUAAGUAGAUGGAUAGGAUUGGGAAUAACAGUUAGGUAGAUCGGCCCGUAUUUAGGUAUCAAGACUUGGCCAUCUGUUUUGAGGACUAUUACCUCUGUUACUGGAAUGCAGACAAUAAAAGAUGAAAUUGAACCUUUUCUUUUGACAUUUUGAAAUAUUUCAGUGGACAAAGUAAUGAAAAGGCUGUAUAUAAGCCUGACAUGGGGUUUCUCAUGUGACUAUAACAUCCCAAAUAUCUGUUGCGGUGUAUAAUGCAGUGCCUUACUCCUUCAUCACAGUUUGAUUUUGGUGCCUGGAUGCCCAACUCUCCCGCGUCCCUACAACUUCCUCCACCGACUAUUAAGGGAAAAGCAACUGAGGCCACCAUGCUGGAAACGCUCCCUGACGUCGAUGGGACAGCUAAUGGAAUAACUAUCCAGCAUCUUCUCAGCAAGCAGUCCACUGACUUUGUAAGAUCCACAAAUACUUCAUUUGAAAGUAAAUGAAUGAAAUGUAUGCAUAAGAUGUGUUAAGUUAGACAACAUGAAGGUAAAGUUAUAUUAUACGGUCCUGACAGCUUUACACACUGCUGUUCAAAAAAGAGGAAUAUAAGUGGAGGAGCCAGAGACAAUAAAAAAAAAACAUCACAACAACAAAUACACAGAAUUAACCAUAUGUUCAACAUGAUUUCUGCAUUCCUCAUGAUUUUUAGGCCAACAAUAAACAUUCAUGCUGAUUUCUCACCAUUCAUUGUUUUGCCAGCAGUCUAUGACUGUAAAGAUUUAAUGCUAAUGGAAUCAAAAACUAACCUUUAAAUGUUUCAUUGGUGUCACCAGGUCCCUCUUGGCCAGUAUCCAGACCAGCUGUUCUUUGAGGAGAUUCCCUGCAAACUGAUCAGGACUUUUCAAGGAGAGCUUGAAGUCCUGAGUGUACGCAUCAAAGUCAGAAACAGGGAACUGGAUCUCCCAUACAACUUCAUGAACCCAACUAUGGUGGAGAACAGUGUGGCUGUUUAAAUACAUGUGUGACCUGCUCAGCUCAUGGCCAAAAUUAUCUUAAUUUUGAGGGAAAACUGUGAUGAUAUGAAACUUUUCAGCAGGAAUAUUUUUGUUGCUUCUUCUCAAUUAUAUCCAGCUUUAAUCAUUCGGGUUUAUCAGAUGAGUACUGCUGCCAGGUUAAGUUUUCUGUACACGACAGGAAAAAAAAUCAUUAGACAGGCAUCAUGUAGUGUAUCUCCUUCUUUAGCUUCUGUGUGUCUUAUUUUCUUUUACAAAUAGAUGUAUUCAGUUGCACUUCAGUUGAAUUUCAAGUUAUAUGCCUUUUUUGACAGAGUAAUGCCGCACAGGGUUCAAAGGGCUGCUUCCAUUUUGCUUAUUUUUCUAUAUUCGACAGAAUGAAUUUUUGCAGUCUGAGACAAUACUGCACUUUUGAUUCUUUGGUGUGUCUUCCAAUCUAGUUCCUAAUAAAAUACCUAUCAUUUAA
This 9216-nucleotide long non-coding RNA is filed under the name Xyrichtys novacula (pearly razorfish). The record is from RNAcentral. Lineage: Eukaryota; Metazoa; Chordata; Actinopteri; Labriformes; Labridae.